Molecule: non-coding RNA, 89 nt
Organism: Xylaria arbuscula
Lineage: Eukaryota; Fungi; Ascomycota; Sordariomycetes; Xylariales; Xylariaceae
Source: the annotation of a GenBank genome assembly
GGUGUUAUAGUAUAGUGGUUAGUACGAUUCGUUGUGGCCAACAACCUCAAUGUUCCGAAUAGACCCAGGUUCGAUUCCUGGUAACGCCA